This 253-nucleotide ribosomal RNA is filed under the name uncultured bacterium. Its description in RNAcentral is "partial 16S ribosomal RNA". It matches the Rfam family "Bacterial small subunit ribosomal RNA", at positions 524 to 776 of the family's 1533-position model. The record is from RNAcentral.
UACGAAGGGGGCUAGCGUUGCUCGGAAUUACUGGGCGUAAAGCGCGCGUAGGCGGGUCAUUAAGUCAGGGGUGAAAUCCUGGAGCUCAACUCCAGAACUGCCCUUGAUACUGGGGAUCUUGAGUCCGGAAGAGGUGAGUGGAACUCCGAGUGUAGAGGUGAAAUUCGUAGAUAUUCGGAAGAACACCAGUGGCGAAGGCGGCUCACUGGUCCGGUACUGACGCUGAGGUGCGAAAGCGUGGGGAGCAAACAGG